Molecule: long non-coding RNA, 250 nt
Filed under: Medicago truncatula (barrel medic)
Lineage: Eukaryota; Viridiplantae; Streptophyta; Magnoliopsida; Fabales; Fabaceae
Description: long non-coding RNA (MTRU_LNC004196)
Source: RNAcentral
CCAGAUAUCACUAGACAAUGUUUCCAAGGAUGUGUAGGCCAUUAGUCCAGCAUUGUUGCAUUUUGGCCUCCAGUUUUUCUUCACAUUCUUUCUUUUAUGGUCUUGUGAUUUGUGUUCAGAUUGAUCAAGAUAACCAUGCAACUUAAAACAGAAAGGUCUUAUAUGGCCUUUUCUCCUGCAGUAGUGACAUAUGCAAGUGAUAGUUUUUUUUUUUGCUAGGAUAGUGUUGUUUUUCAGGAUUUUUGAUGGG